GCCACCAUUGUUUCCUUCACAGGAUAAAGAACUCUCUGUCACCAAUGUUCAGCCUCAUCUCCGUCGCUGUAGGCGCAUCUAGGAUCAGACUGUCAAAUGAAAUAAUUAUUCGCACUGUUAUUUCUUUCUUUAAUUUUGUUCUUUCAUUUAUCAUGUGUGUUUCUUGAAGUUAAGCAGCUGCUCAGAGCUGCACCUUUUGCUCCGUUGAGGGGAAGUGUCAAACCACAAGUCAUUCUGUCUGCGAGGGCAACUCAUUUCCCUUCAACAGCCUCAUUUCUGUAUAGACACCUAACUGCUGAUAAAGAUGAAAUAGUAUUCGCACCUGCUCUGAUUAAACUGUUGAACCUGCGGGGUGUGAAGCGAGCAAGGCGAUUAUUGGAAACCGCACGUCUCCACGCGUCUGUUAUCUACUCUGUAUAUAUGUGGAGUUGCGGUUUGUACAAUGUCAUGAUGUUCUGUCUAAUUUUCCGUUUGACCUAAACCUUGCACCUGAUGACUUUGUUCCAAAAAACGUUAUUUUUGGUUGACUUCCCGGAAUUGUUUUUGCGCCACCUGGGCGUCUAAGAUGUGUAUAAAAAUUGACACGCUGCAUGCUGUCUUGCAGAGUUUGUUUGAUAGCAUGAAGACAGCUGUCAGAUCUGGAGCCACGGGUGAGGG
Long non-coding RNA from Xiphophorus couchianus (Monterrey platyfish), 657 nucleotides. RefSeq lists it as uncharacterized. The transcript has 3 exons. NCBI's taxonomy places the organism in Eukaryota, Metazoa, Chordata, Actinopteri, Cyprinodontiformes, Poeciliidae. The record is from RefSeq and is a predicted model, not a curated record.